Molecule: long non-coding RNA, 1410 nt
Organism: Saccostrea cuccullata (small rock oyster)
Lineage: Eukaryota; Metazoa; Mollusca; Bivalvia; Ostreida; Ostreidae
Exons: 3
Source: RefSeq, a predicted model, not a curated record
AUGAAAGCAUAGGAAUCUUAAAAGCCUUUGAGAUUAGCGUGAUGCAUGUGGAUGAACCAAUAAAGGAGGACUUGUUUAUUUUCGAUACGGAAUGUGGCAUUGAAGUUGUAGGCCAUUCCGAUCAGAAGAAAGUUAUCGACGCAUUGUGCUGUUGUGUGUUUCUCGCUUCACCACUACACUAAAAUUUUAAGUGAGAAUGGGAAGGAAAAAAGAAAAGACCUGAGAGUAUCCUGUAAAGUAUUAUGCUUUAUGCAGUCCGAACAGGGAAGAAAAGUCACGGUGCAUUUGACCAUGUCCAAUGAUGAUGUUGACAGUUUGAUUGUUGAUAGUAUUUUCAUCAGAUCAAUUGGGUCAUUAAUUGGAAUAGAUAAGAACAAAAAAAGUACAUGUACUUCAGUGUUUCCUUAAAAGAUUUGUGCCAUCAAUCAAAGUAGAGGUCAUCCCAUAUCAGCUCAAGAAUAUUAAAGAAAGUUGGAUGGAUCAAGCUAAGAUGUUGAACCAGACAUGGCAAAGUCAAUGGAGAUUUGGAAAAGAAAUGAUGUUUUGUUGUACCCAAUGCAUAUUUUUAAUAUGUCUAUAGAUUAUAGAAAAAAAUUUAAUGUUUAACAGCAUCCUAUCUACCUGGUAGUAUAUACAUGCUGUUUUCAAUAUAUUUAGAAAAUAUGUGUAUGUGAUGAUUGCAGUGCAUGCUCUAUUUGUCCAUCUUUGAAUUUGUUUUCAGUAAAAUAAAUGUAUACAUUAAGGUAUUAAUUGAAGGUUGCUUUUGUCUACACUUACAAGUAACAAGUUUCUUAAAAGGGUUAUUUUGUAAAAUUGCAAGGAAAUUAAUACAUGAACAAUUAAAUUUAAUAUUUUUAUUCAUUAAAUUUUUUCUUACCAGGACCUAAUAUGCUCAAAUAAGUAUUUCUGAAAACUGAAGAGUUUUGUAAAUAAAGCUGCAGUGAACAUUUAACAGUUUAAAAUAUGACACUUGGAAAUUGAAAGGUUGUUAAUUUAGUAGGAAUGAUAAGACCAGUUUAGUAAUCAACUAAAAUUAAAAUCUUUCACAAAUACAUGUAGUUUAUUUUAAAAUUGUUUACAUUUAUAAUCUUUUAAUUUUUUUCUGAAUUUUGAUUUUAAAAAGGAGAAAAAAAUUUUAUAUUUAAAUUAUUAUUUCAUGGAUAUCAAGGAGAUAUAUCUAUCACUGUAACAUUGUUUCUUUUUCCCUGUUCUUGACAAAUAUUUAUGACAGUGUUAUGUCAUUUUGCAGAAUUUGCCUUUUCUCUGAAAUCAGAAGUACUCUGUAAACUCAUUAAAGUAUGAAUUGAAGUCACUUAGAAUUCAUCUUUAUUUUGUUCUGUCUGAUAUUUCAAUUUAGAUUCUCUGACUACCUAAUCCAAUGAUUGAGCUAAUGUCCAUGAAGUGUAGAAA